UACAGAGGUCUCAAGCGUUGUUCGGAUUCAUUGGGCGUAAAGGGUGCGUAGGCGGUAUGGUAAGUCAGGCGUGAAAUCUUGGGGCUUAACCUCAAAACUGCGCUUGAUACUAUCAUGCUAGAGUUCUAUAGAGGAGACUGGAAUUUACGGUGUAGCAGUGAAAUGCGUAGAUAUCGUAAGGAAGACCGGUUGCGAAAGCGAGUCUCUGGAUAGAUGCUGACGCUGAGGCACGAAGGCCAGGGGAGCAAACGGG
Molecule: ribosomal RNA, 253 nt
Filed under: uncultured bacterium
Lineage: Bacteria
Description: partial 16S ribosomal RNA
Rfam family: Bacterial small subunit ribosomal RNA
Source: RNAcentral